GUUUCCGUAGUGUAGAGGUUAUCACGUGUGCUUCACACGCACAAGGUCCCCGGUUCGAACCCGGGCGGAAACA
Molecule: transfer RNA, 73 nt
Filed under: Sipha flava (yellow sugarcane aphid)
Lineage: Eukaryota; Metazoa; Arthropoda; Insecta; Hemiptera; Aphididae
Description: tRNA-Val
Rfam family: tRNA
About the family: Transfer RNA (tRNA) molecules are approximately 80 nucleotides in length. Their secondary structure includes four short double-helical elements and three loops (D, anti-codon, and T loops). Further hydrogen bonds mediate the characteristic L-shaped molecular structure. tRNAs have two regions of fundamental functional importance: the anti-codon, which is responsible for specific mRNA codon recognition, and the 3' end, to which the tRNAs corresponding amino acid is attached (by aminoacyl-tRNA synthetases). tRNAs cope with the degeneracy of the genetic code in two manners: having more than one tRNA (with a specific anti-codon) for a particular amino acid; and 'wobble' base-pairing, i.e. permitting non-standard base-pairing at the 3rd anti-codon position.
Source: Rfam by way of RNAcentral